RNAcentral lists this transfer RNA (93 nucleotides) under Nanobdellota archaeon. RNAcentral describes it as "tRNA-Val". It matches the Rfam family "tRNA". From Rfam's summary of the family: Transfer RNA (tRNA) molecules are approximately 80 nucleotides in length. Their secondary structure includes four short double-helical elements and three loops (D, anti-codon, and T loops). Lineage: Archaea; Nanobdellati; Nanobdellota. The record is from RNAcentral.
GGGCUCGUAGUUUAGUGGCUACGUCUUAAGGGCGCUGCAGAUAACGUCCCGUUGACGUCGGGAAGGUCUCCGGUUCGAGUCCGGACGGGCCCA